Pipra filicauda (Wire-tailed manakin) is the source of this 3745-nucleotide RNA transcript. It is a transcript of the gene named cholinergic receptor muscarinic 2, with no coding region annotated. The record is from RefSeq and is a predicted model, not a curated record. The transcript has 3 exons. Lineage: Eukaryota; Metazoa; Chordata; Aves; Passeriformes; Pipridae.
CCGCCACACACUCGCUCACACCCCCACAGGCGGGCAGCAAGCAGACCCGCAGCCGCAGCACCCCAGCAAGGACAUUCGCCCGAGAUGCUCACCUAGGCAUCCCACUUCCCUCGCUCCCCACCACCUCAACGAAGGUGGCAGCUUGCCCCCAUUUCCUCAGGAGCUCUGGGGGAAGUAUGAAUUAUUACCAGCUCACUUGAGAGUCCUGGCUUCACCUGUUUUUAAUUAUUUCAGUUUUGUCCAAACCUUUAAGCCAGGUUUGAUAGCACUAGUGCACUUUUUUUUUUUUUUCCCCUAAGGCUCAGCUUGGCUGAACUGAAGCAGAGACUCCCAAGGGUCGGAGCCAUCGAGGGUGUGCGUGUCUAUGUGUGUGCCUGUGGGUGUGGGAGGCAGAGAGGGAGCGAGAGAGAGACAAAAACUCCAUCAACCCGGACAAUGCCACCUCUUGUUUAAAGCUUCCAAACUGUUAUUCUUUCCCCCCAUUAUCACGGUACCAAGUAAUCUGUCUUUCCCCCACUCCAACCCCCCUCCCUCCUCUUGGAAGAUAUGGAAGAGGAAGAUAAAGCGGCUGGCUGCGGGCGCUGACGCCGCGCAGCCCGCAUGCCUCUGCCGCCACAGCCGGGGCUGCGGAGCGAGCCGCUUGCAGCGGGAUGGGAUGCAACUUCUGCUAAUUGGAUCACAGGUUUAAGUGGUAACUGGGUAUCUUGUUAGCAGAACAGCAAUGAAUAACUCAACGUACAUAAACUCUUCCACUGAAAAUGUGAUGGCUUUGGAAAGCCCCUAUAAAACUGUUGAGGUGGUCUUCAUCGUCCUGGUAGCAGGGUCUCUCAGUCUAGUCACCAUAAUUGGGAACAUCCUGGUCAUGGUGUCGAUCAAAGUCAACAGGCACCUCCAGACUGUGAACAACUAUUUCCUGUUCAGCUUGGCCUGCGCUGACUUGAUCAUCGGCAUCUUUUCAAUGAACCUGUACACCCUCUACACUGUGAUAGGCUACUGGCCCUUGGGGCCUGUGGUGUGUGACCUCUGGCUGGCUCUCGACUACGUGGCCAGCAAUGCCUCUGUAAUGAACCUCCUCAUUAUCAGCUUUGACAGAUACUUUUGUGUCACCAAGCCUCUGACAUACCCCGUGAAGCGGACCACUAAGAUGGCAGGCAUGAUGAUUGCAGCUGCCUGGGUUCUCUCCUUCAUCCUCUGGGCCCCUGCAAUUCUCUUCUGGCAAUUCAUUGUGGGAGGAAGGACUGUCCCAGAUGGGGACUGUUACAUCCAGUUUUUUUCCAACCCUGCUGUCACUUUUGGCACUGCCAUUGCAGCCUUCUAUUUGCCUGUUAUCAUCAUGACUGUCCUUUACUGGCAAAUCUCUCGAGCCAGUAAGAGCAGGAUAAAGAAGGCGAAAAAGGAAGCUGCACAAAACCAAGAUACAGUUUCCCCCAGCCUUGUCCAAGGUAAAAUAGUGAAACCAAACAAUAACAACAUCCCGACCAGUGGAGAUGGUUUGGAGCACAGCAAAAUUCAAAAUGGAAAACCCAGUGAGGAGACUGUGACUGAUAACUGUGUUCAAGCAGAGAAGGAGAGCUCCAACGACUCCACCUCUGUCAGUGUGGUAGCCUCCAACUUGAAAGAGGAUGAAGCUACCAAAGAUGCCAAACAGGCUUCUGCCUCCCAAGACCAUCUCAAAGUGGAGAACUCCAAGCUGACAUGCAUCAAGAUAGUCACAAAGUCCCCAAAGGGAGACUGCUGCGCCCCUACCAACACCACCGUGGAGAUCGUAGGCACGAACGGGGAGGAGAAGCAGAAUAGCGUAGCCCGGAAAAUAGUCAAGAUGACAAAGCAGCCAGCCAAAAAGAAACCACCCCCCUCUAGAGAGAAAAAAGUGACAAGGACUAUUUUAGCCAUCCUCCUGGCCUUCAUCAUCACCUGGACCCCAUACAAUGUGAUGGUGCUCAUCAACAGCUUCUGCACAUCCUGCAUCCCUAACACUGUGUGGACCAUAGGCUACUGGCUCUGUUAUAUCAACAGCACCAUCAACCCUGCUUGUUAUGCGCUCUGCAAUGCUACCUUCAAGAAGACCUUUAAGCACCUUCUUAUGUGCCAUUACAAGAAUAUAGGAGCUACAAGGUAAAAAUAAGAAUAAAAAUAAUUAUGGGAAGGGUGAAGAAGUUCCAAAUUAAAUUAAAAACCCACGAUGCUACAGCACUUUAUGCUCUUCUAUGGAAUGUGCAAUCCAGGAUGCUAGUGGAAAUCCUGACAUGGGGCAUCAGCUCUACCCCUGAGAACUACACUUAAAAACAUUUUUUUAAUAAUUGAAAACAAAUCUUUAGGACAUGGGUAUGUUUGAAAAAUUGUUCAAGGAUAUGGACUGGAGGCACAGUUCCUUACUUUCUGAGAGUAUUCUGCAGAGAAGGGCUUUAGAGUCUACAAUUUUUGGUCAUUCUGUGUAAAAUACUUGUUCUUCUUUUUUCUUUCUUUUUUUUUUUCUUAUCCCCUGUAUCCGUUUAACACAUUUUCAUCUAGGGAAAAAAAAAAAGAGGAAUUUUAAUAAUAACUGUGUGGAAGAGGCAUAGGAGUAUAGAAGAUCAUUGCAUAAUCCAAAUGCAUCAUGGCAGAAAUUUUCUAAAGUUCGAAGUUGUCUAACAGUUUUUUGCCACUGUCAUGUAAGAAGCUUGAUGUUGGGUACAUCGCGAUGAAAGUUAUGUUGUUUAUGACACCACGUUUCCAAAACUGCAUCAAUUCUGCAAGUGUACUUAUGCUCAACAUGUAAUCAUUGCCUAACUUGUAUAUCAUUCGAAGUCUGCAGCUUGUCCCAUUCUACAGGCUUUUGUUCUGUGACUACUUCAUCAUGUCAGGAUGAAAGUGAAAAGAUGUGGUCUCGUCCAGAUUGCUACAUCCCAAGACUACUUCAGCAUCCAUGUAAACCAAAGCUUUUGAGACGAUUUUGUUCACUUUGUUUGUCACAUAAUAUCAACGUGUGGAUUUGUCUUUUACCUCCAUCAGCCUUUUCUUCCUGUUUGUACCUUAACUUGUCCAGGGCACAAAGACUGAAUAUCAAAAUUGUAAAUUCAGAGGUCUCAUACAAUCAGCCACCAUGGCGGUCAGACAAAGGGUCUCAGCUGAAGAAUAGAAAUGAGGUUGUUACUAGGAAAAUGGAGCUUACAUCCUUUUAAAGUUGGAUGUACCGAUUGAGAGGUUUCGCUUCCCUUCUGAGCGAUAGUUCUGCGAGAUCUAGAUGUCAGUCUUGAAGAGCAGCUCUCCCUGGGUAACUUCUCCAGCUCGCCUGGCUGUCACCUGCACACCACUGGCCCCAAGGCCCCAGGUGCCCUUCUACAGGAACUGCUGCAUCUUCACCUUGGGUUUGACCAGAACAUUCCACUGGCACAUCCACAUCAUGUGUUGCACUGGUGACUUUUGUUUCACAUAGAAAUGGAGCAAACUGUGCACUUGAUUCAAGAGAAAAAAAACAACCAACCAACCAAACAAAAACCUCACCACAAAAUGACAACCAACAACAAAAAACCUGCAGCUAGAGCUUCUUGCCCCCUCUUUUUUUCCUAUUUACUAUUUCCAGAAAGAGACCAAAACUUAAAAGUUCCAAUCAACCCUUGAUAUUAACCUUGCUGCAGCAGGAUCUGUCCCAUUGGCAACCCAUGGGGAGUGGCUUGUACUGUCACAGGCCAGCCCUACUUUCACUCUCCAGAAGGAGAACAGCAGUCUGAAGAUAUGUCAGUUCAGUGGAAAAGAAGGAAAGAAA